RNAcentral lists this long non-coding RNA (608 nucleotides) under Nicotiana benthamiana. Its description in RNAcentral is "long non-coding RNA (NBEN_LNC039256)". The record is from RNAcentral. Lineage: Eukaryota; Viridiplantae; Streptophyta; Magnoliopsida; Solanales; Solanaceae.
UCUGAUUUUCAUGGCUACAAUGACAGGUUCUAGAUGCACCAGCACUUCAAGAUGACUUCUACUUGAACCUAGUUGAUUGGUCCUCUCAGAAUGUUCUCCGUUUUGGGGCACGACACUUCCCUCUCUAACGAGGUUUCCACCCCUCCUAAACCCCCUAGGAAAGUGCCCAAGACACCCCACAAGGUAUAUACAUACAUAUGCUCUGUUUUUUUAUUCAAUUCACUGAUGACUAGAAAUAAUCAACUAGACUUAGCUUGAGAGUUUGGUCAAGGGAUUACCUUAUCUUUUGCCCUACUGUUGAAAACCCAUUAUGUUGCUUGGAUUGUAAGGUGGACUCAACUCAAUGUUUGUCAAAAGAGUUUAUCUGAUUUUCAUGGCUACAAUGACAGGUUCUGGAUGCACCAGCACUUCAAGAUGACUUCUACUUGAACCUAGUUGAUUGGUCCUCUCAGAAUGUUCUUGCUGUUGGGCUAGGAACAUGUGUUUAUUUAUGGACAGCUUCAAAUAGUAGAGUGCGUAUCUAGCUUGGGAAAUACCUUUUCUACUUAUAUCAUAGUAAUUAACAACUAUCUGAAACUUUCAGAAUAUGAAUAUUUGUUGUCAAGGUG